Molecule: ribosomal RNA, 214 nt
Filed under: Shigella flexneri
Lineage: Bacteria; Pseudomonadati; Pseudomonadota; Gammaproteobacteria; Enterobacterales; Enterobacteriaceae
Description: partial 16S ribosomal RNA
Rfam family: Bacterial small subunit ribosomal RNA
Source: RNAcentral
GCCCCCUGGACGAAGACUGACGCUCAGGUGCGAAAGCGUGGGGAGCAAACAGGAUUAGAUACCCUGGUAGUCCACGCUGUAAACGAUGUCGACUUGGAGGUUGUGCCCUUGAGGUGUGGCUUCCGGAGCUAACGCGUUAAGUCGACCGCCUGGGGAGUACGGCCGCAAGGUUAAAACUCAAAUGAAUUGACGGGGGCCCGCACAAGCGGUGGAG